UCUACGGGUGGCAGCAGUGAGGAAUAUUGGUCAAUGGGAGAGAUCCUGAACCAGCCAAGCCGCGUGAGGGAAGACGGCCCUAUGGGUUGUAAACCUCUUUUGUCGGAGAACAAAACCCGGGACGUGUCCCGGACUGCGUGUAUCCGAAGAAAAAGCAUCGGCUAACUCCGUGCCAGCAGCCGCGGUAAUACGGAGGAUGCGAGCGUUAUCCGGAUUUAUUGGGUUUAAAGGGUGCGCAGGCGGAAGCGGAAAGUCAGCGGUAAAAUUGCGGGGCUCAACCUCGCCGAGCCGUUGAAACUGCUCUUCUAGAGUGGGCGAGAAGUAUGCGGAAUGCGUGGUGUAGCGGUGAAAUGCAUAGAUAUCACGCAGAACUCCGAUUGCGAAGGCAGCAUACCGGCGCCCAACUGACGCUCAUGCACGAAAGCGUGGGUAUCGAACAGGAUUAGAUACCCGGGUAGUC
RNAcentral lists this ribosomal RNA (460 nucleotides) under uncultured bacterium. Its description in RNAcentral is "partial 16S ribosomal RNA". It matches the Rfam family "Bacterial small subunit ribosomal RNA", at positions 338 to 795 of the family's 1533-position model. The record is from RNAcentral.